CCUACGGGAGGCAGCAGUGAGGAAUAUUGGUCAAUGGCCGGAAGGCUGAACCAGCCAUGCCGCGUGAAGGUCAGUGCCCUAUGGGCGUUAAACUUCUUUUGUGCGGGAGCAAUAAUGGUCACGUGUGGCCAGACGAGAGUACCGUACGAAUAAGCAUCGGCUAACUCCGUGCCAGCAGCCGCGGUAAUACGGGGGAUGCAAGCGUUAUCCGGAGUUAUUGGGUUUAAAGGGUGCGUAGGCUGUGAGGUAAGUCAGCGGUGAAAUGCCCCCGCUCAACGGGGUGAAGUGCCAUUGAUACUGCCUGGCUGGAAUGCGGAUGCCGUGGGAGGAAUGUGUGGUGUAGCGGUGAAAUGCAUAGAUAUCACACAGAACACCGAUUGCGAAGGCAUCUCACGAAGCCGCGAUUGACGCUGAUGCACGAAAGCGUGGGUAUCAAACAGGAGUAGAUACCCCUGUAGUC
Molecule: ribosomal RNA, 460 nt
Filed under: uncultured bacterium
Lineage: Bacteria
Description: partial 16S ribosomal RNA
Rfam family: Bacterial small subunit ribosomal RNA
Source: RNAcentral